GCGGCGGGCCCAUCGAUGGGCGGGAGAUUCUACUGAGAGGACGCACAUCUACAGCGUGGCUUCCAUUACAGCCGGCGAGAAGGACAGAAACGGGGCAAGACAAUGUGCAGGAUCACUUGUCGACUGCGGUGAUGGAGUUCCCGGGAUGACAGUUUAAAGUAGCGGCAUUUUGGAGAAGACGGAGAAAGUCACAGGAGAGGGGGAGGCGAAGGAAGUAAGAGGUGACGGCAUCGGAUGAGGUUUUCAUACGGAUGUCGAGGACACGGGCAUGGAGGCUGGGGCUCCAGAAUCAGCAAAGAAUCGCCGUGGUGACGCCACAUGGAGUGGACAGCCACACAAGUACAGGGACAAGUGGUGAAGCCAACCGGGUGAGAUGCAGAGAAGCACGAGGUGUCCCAGUUGACGGGAGGGCUGAGACCAGGAGCCACCAGCCCCAAACACGUAGCACCCAGGCGCAAGAUGCAACGGGGGAACGAGUCGCCUCCACUGGGGAGGACCCCAAGGCAGAGGAUUCUGGGAGAAGAGUCUGAGGACAUGGGGAAGGUGGAUGGGAGCACGGGGCGUCAAGGGCAGCAUUUGGGGGGGUGUCUGCGGUCACAGGCAUGGAUGUGUGCGAGGGAACGAGUGACUGCGAGGUCGUGCUUUGAGUGGCGGCGGUACGGAAAGGGGGCAGCGUGGGGCGCACGGGCUGGUCAUCUUGCUGGAGAAGGACCUGUCCCGGACCUCUCCCUGGACUGACAAAUAAUCUGACAUCCUUCAUUCACCUCCAUCCUUCAUUCUCGCAGAGUUACCUGACAGACCCUCUCCUGCAUUUUCCGGAAUGUUCUGUUGAUGUGAAUGAGGUCACUCUGAGAUGGCUGGUUCUUCAUUAACUGCUGUUUCUCCUAUAGACCUGUCUCACCCGUCAUUUUAGCCAUCUGUCCUGGCCUCGUGCUGAUGACGACCAUUGAGUUCUCUGCUCUGGGAUGGGAAGACUGCCGUCUCCGGCUGGUGAUUGCCCUGCCGCCACAGGCCUUCCUUGGACCACAUCAUUGGGUCUGACUUUCCAAUACGUGUCUCUCUGGGUGGAUGAAACUCCCCAUCAUUUUCUAAGCUGGACUCACCUCACCAAGCGAAACAGGUAAAAUCAUGUUAUCACCUACAUCACGAUGUGACGCGUCCUGCUCACGGAACUGCUCGUAGCCGAUGGAUGCCUAUGGCGACAUAUAUCGAUCAAAACACCCUUUCCCAAUCAUGCGAUCGUGGGAACCGGACUUAUUCCAUAUACAGCACCUUUUUUGUAUUAUACCCCAGGUCACGGGGGAGGCAAUUUCCUCUGCAGGAGGGGUCAUGUCUCUAUGGGACUGACAGUGCACCUUGUACACGGGGUUCAAUUCACAUGAGCUGAGACCACUUUUUAAAUCCAAAGAAUGAACACACGUAUUGACUCCAUUAGGAAGCCCAAAACAUGCUUCACUAAGUUGCCAACAUCAAACAGAGACACAGCCUCGAAGAGGAGUUAGCUCGUAAUCUAGGCCACAGCGGGCCCUCAGUGUGUUGCCUAAGAACGCACGGCCUCCGGGAGGGCCUCGCUUCCUUCCCACCUGAGCCACUAAACAUGCGUCUUGUUUUCUCCUCCAGUCUCCCUCUUGGUUGCUCCAAAUUUCUUCAGGGGAGAAAUAUGAAAAAGAAAAGCAGCGCCACCUAGCCUGUGAGGUCAAAGGACAAGGGCUUUGUCUAGAAGCACGCAAAGCUCUAGUUAACUUUGAUGACAGUCCAGAGAGCCUGGCAGCUUCCAAUUUCUUUUCUGCGAUUCAAUUAAGCUAAUGUGUACAUUUGUGCUUUAAGGUGUUCAUUUUUUUCUACACAAGAGAAAAAUAAAAGGAGCCUGGGAAAAAUUCUGAGAGCACAAAAUCUAACAGACAAAUGGAAUCAUUCAGCAUGAUUUCCUCAGGGACCGGCUCACAUUUCUCACAGACGGCUGGGCUGGAGCUUGAUUUUUCAUAAGAGAUGAGGGUAACAUCUGGAGAACGGCCACAUCCCCCCCAAAAGUGGGGUAAGUUUAACUCGAUCAUAAAUAACAGACACUGAAAUGCCCCUCACAGGUACAGCAAUCUUAAAUAGUAAUAAGGCAGUUGUUGGUAACAUACACUAGGUAGCCAAGGUGAUUCAAGGUCAGUUUUUUCUUCCAGAAGCUUCUGCAGAUAAUCAGCAUCUCCCAACCACCCACCUGAUCCUGUCCAAAAGCGAUGCCCUGACACUUGCAAGUUACUGAUGAAAUGCAGCUUGGUUUGCUACGGACAUAUGUUUUAUAAAAUGCACUUGUAGGGGCGCCUGGGUGGCUCCGUCGGUCAAGCAUCUGAAUUCGGUUCAGGUCAUGAUCUCGUGGUUUAUGAGUUCGAGCCCCACGUCAGACUCUGUGCUCACAGCUCGGAGACUGAAGCCUGCUUCGGAUUCUGUGUCCCCCUCUCUC
Molecule: long non-coding RNA, 2452 nt
Organism: Acinonyx jubatus (cheetah)
Lineage: Eukaryota; Metazoa; Chordata; Mammalia; Carnivora; Felidae
Exons: 3
Source: RefSeq, a predicted model, not a curated record